UACGUAGGGUGCGAGCGUUAAUCGGAAUUACUGGGCGUAAAGCGUGCGCAGGCGGUUUUGUAAGCCAGAUGUGAAAUCCCCGGGCUUAACCUGGGAAUGGCAUUUGGGACUGCAAGGCCGGAGUUUGGCAGAGGAGACUGGAAUUCCUGGUGUAGCAGUGAAAUGCGUAGAUAUCAGGAGGAACACCGGUGGCGAAAGCGCUCAUCUGGCCCAAUACUGACGCUGAGGCGCGAAAGCUAGGGGAGCAAACGGG
Molecule: ribosomal RNA, 253 nt
Filed under: uncultured bacterium
Lineage: Bacteria
Description: partial 16S ribosomal RNA
Rfam family: Bacterial small subunit ribosomal RNA
Source: RNAcentral